AUCACUUGUCCUUUAAAUGAAGACCUGUAUGAAUGGCUAGACGAGGGCUUAACUGUCUCCUCCCCCCAGUCAAUGAAAUUGAUCUCCCCGUGCAGAAGCGGGGAUUCUCCCAUAAGACGAGAAGACCCUAUGGAGCUUUAGACACUAGACGGCCUACGUUAAGCUCCCUACUCUAAUGGGGAAAAGCAUUAUAGCCCCCGUCUCUCCUGUCUUCGGUUGGGGCGACCGCGGAGGACAAAAAGCCUCCAUGUGGACCAGGGUCACAGACCCCACAGCUGAGGGCUGCGGCCCCAAGCAACAGAAAAUCUGACCAAAAUGAUCCGGCAAAUUUGCCGAUUAACGGAACAAGUUACCCUAGGGAUAACAGCGCAAUC
Molecule: ribosomal RNA, 374 nt
Filed under: Plecoglossus altivelis (ayu)
Lineage: Eukaryota; Metazoa; Chordata; Actinopteri; Osmeriformes; Plecoglossidae
Description: partial 16S ribosomal RNA
Rfam family: Bacterial large subunit ribosomal RNA
Source: RNAcentral